Molecule: ribosomal RNA, 253 nt
Filed under: uncultured bacterium
Lineage: Bacteria
Description: partial 16S ribosomal RNA
Rfam family: Bacterial small subunit ribosomal RNA
Source: RNAcentral
UACGUAGGGCGCAAGCGUUGUCCGGAAUUAUUGGGCGUAAAGAGCUCGUAGGCGGUCUGUCGCGUCCGUCGUGAAAGCCCGGGGCUUAACUCCGGGCCUGCAGUGGGUACGGGCAGACUAGAGUGUGGUAGGGGAGACUGGAAUUCCUGGUGUAGCGGUGAAAUGCGCAGAUAUCAGGAGGAACACCGGUGGCGAAGGCGGGUCUCUGGGCCAUAACUGACGCUGAGGAGCGAAAGCGUGGGGAGCGAACAGG